UAAGUGGCCGUACAAAAACCUCCUGCACUCUGAACAAACCUCUAACCACUGAAAAUGAACCUUUUAAUAUAAAACAUCACAGUACACCUUAUUAAAUGUAGAAGACGAUUUAACUUAAGUGACUUAAAAUUAUUUAAUGCAUUUAAAUCAUAAUUAUCAUAAUUGUAUCUUUAGUAUUAAGAAUUGAAAGACAAAACUUAAUUUUCACAUAAACCUAAACAUACUUUUAAAACACACACAAACAAACAAAAAACUGUUUAAAACAGCAAACAGAAAAACUUUAAAAAAUCAUGAAUUAUGAGGCUAUACUGAAGACAGUUUUACAGGUAUAUUGUAUUUGUUGAUACCAAAAUCAAAAGGUAAGCAUACAAACCAGACUCCCACAGGUGUUAAAAAUACGUAAAUAUGUUUCCAAUUAUUUUCGUCUAUUCCAUAAAAUCUUUAAUGGUAUUAGUUUCUUUUGAUUUUGUGCUGCAAAGUUCCCUUCAGUGUGUUGAGAGCAGAGAAAUCAUUUCCAUAGAGAGGAGGCUUUGCAUCAUCAGCUGAUCCUCCAGAGAACUGAGAAGGUUUAUAGUCCUGUGAGUUCAACACUGCAGGACUCACAUCUGUCAGUCAACACAGCAGAAAGCACAACCACCAUGACUCUCAUCACCAUCCUCAUCUGGACGCUGACCUGCUGCUGUUUUACAGGAUGCAGCGGUCAGGUGACUGUGACUCAACCUCCAGUAGUGACAUUUACUCCUGGAUCCACUGUCACUCUGACCUGUAGGACCAGCCAAGCUGUUUACAGAUGGUCUAGUGGUGACGCCAUGUACUGGUAUCAACAUAAAUCUGGACAGACACCAAAGCUCCUAAUAAAAUAUGUGAAAACGCUUGAGUCAGGAACACCAUCUCGAUUUAGUGGCAGUGGAAGCAGCUCUGACUUCUCUAUGACCAUCAGUGGAGUUCAGGCUGAAGAUGCAGCAGUUUACUACUGUAAGAGUUUACAUGAAAUAAACAGUGCUUAUGUGUUCACACAGUGAUUUGUAGUCGUACAA
Molecule: non-coding RNA, 1037 nt
Organism: Oreochromis niloticus (Nile tilapia)
Lineage: Eukaryota; Metazoa; Chordata; Actinopteri; Cichliformes; Cichlidae
Source: the annotation of a RefSeq genome assembly